This 239-nucleotide ribosomal RNA is filed under the name uncultured bacterium. Its description in RNAcentral is "partial 16S ribosomal RNA". It matches the Rfam family "Bacterial small subunit ribosomal RNA", at positions 100 to 334 of the family's 1533-position model. The record is from RNAcentral.
CCGGCACGGGUGAGUAACACGUAUCCAACCUGCCGUCUACUCUUGGCCAGCCUUCUGAAAGGAAGAUUAAUCCAGGAUGGCAUCAUGAGUUCACAUGUCCGCAUGAUUAAAGGUAUUUUCCGGUAGACGAUGGGGAUGCGUUCCAUUAGAUAGUAGGCGGGGUAACGGCCCCACCAGUCAACGAUGGAUAGGGGUUCUGAGAGGAAGGUCCCCCACAUUGGAACUGAGACACGGUCCAA